AUCUAAUUAGUAUAAACAAGUACCGUAAGUUUCCAACUUAAAAGUUCACUAGAAUUAGAUA
Molecule: transfer RNA, 61 nt
Filed under: Proasellus grafi
Lineage: Eukaryota; Metazoa; Arthropoda; Malacostraca; Isopoda; Asellidae
Description: transfert RNA-G(GGA)
Source: RNAcentral